This 253-nucleotide ribosomal RNA is filed under the name uncultured bacterium. RNAcentral describes it as "partial 16S ribosomal RNA". It matches the Rfam family "Bacterial small subunit ribosomal RNA", at positions 526 to 776 of the family's 1533-position model. The record is from RNAcentral.
AGAGGUCGUCGAGCGUUUAGGCGGAAUCACUGGGGCUUAAAGCGUGUGUAGGCGGAUUGCUAAGUACCUUGUGAAAUCCCACGGCUUAACCGUGGAACUGCUUGGUAUACUGGCUGUCUUGAGCCACUUAGGGGCAACCGGAACAAACGGUGGAGCGGUGAAAUGCGUAGAUAUCGUUGAGACGCCAAUGGUGAAAACAGGUUGCCUGGGAGUGUGCUGACGUGAGAACACGAAAGCCAGGGGAGCAAACGGG